AAGUUCUUCAAUAUAACAUCAGACAAAAUUUUAAAAUUUGAAAAACUUUCUUCUCCUUUCUCCCAAAAGUUCUUCAAUAGUACAAUAGUAAAAUGCCUUUCUAUCCUACGGAUUCACGAGACUCUACCCCACUCCAGCACCAACAACCUCCAAUUUGCCAUGAAUAUGUACCCAUAAAUGACCAUGGAUCAAUGGUUGGCCUAACCCCGCAAUCACCCCAACGCAAUCAAAAAGAAUCCAUCAAUGACAUAUCUACCCCAAACAAUAUUUUUCAACAACCGAACUUUUUAAUUUUUUUUCUGGGAAAACCCCCAAAACAUAUGGAUCUGUUGCUGCUGUUGUUGGGGCUACCGCUGAACCUUUUCAAAAAUAGCGCAAUCGCCCAAGGAAAUUAGUUGUUAUCAAAUUUGAUGUUGAUGGUAAUAUUGGUGUUGCUGAGCCAUCUCAGAAAAAGAGGGGUCAUCCAAGGAAAUCUAUUGUUGAUGGCACUGGUGUUACUGGUGCUACUUCUUCAAAAAAUCCCCCCAAAAAGGUCAGUGGGAGGACCUCAUGCUCCAAAAAGAAGCAACAAUAGCCAGAAGAUUCAGGAGGUGGAUCUAUGAAUCACAUAAUCCAUGUGGACAUUGGACAGGACAUUGUAUCUGAGAUAUUUACUUUCUUAGAGCAAGAACGAUCUGCAGUUUGUGUUCUAUCUUGAGUUGGAGUCUUAGGUAAAGUCACCCUUCGGCAGUCUGCAACCACUGGUGGCACUAUGACACAUGAGGCCGGUAUGGGUUUUAGCUCAAAGGCAUUUACCCUUUCAGUUGCCUUUGUGUUGAGGCAUGUCCGGAAGCUUAUGCAGAAAGGCUAUUGCUUUGGAUAACUUUAAUUACUGGACUUAUUUGGAUAGUUGUGGAAUUGCUCAUUUAUAAUGAUGUCAUUCUUCUAUGCAGGGUCAAUUCGAUAUCAUCUCGUUAUCAGGGUCUUUUAUGCGAUUAAAAAGUGGCGUAAUAGGUUUUCUUAACCUAUCAGUGACUAGUCCAGAUGGUAGUGAUUACGGUGUUGUUCUUGCAGGAAAGCUCAAGGCUGUCACUCCGGUGGCUUUGAGAUGCUUCAGUCCGUACGUGGAAAAACCUGAGUCGAAGGCUCCAUCUUCAACUCCACCCCCAAUUUUCUGAAUUUUGGACCUCCAGUUACAAAUGCGACCUCUAGUUCCCAAUUGCCUCAACCAAUGUACGAGGGCCAAGCAAUGUGAAAGUUAUGAACUCCAACUUAGAGCAAAAAAUUGCCAAUCAAGGGUGUGUUUUGUGCAGAGGAUAAUGUUUUCCAGUUUUAUUUAUUUGCAACUUUCUUCUAGACUAGCUCUUUAUGCAAUUAAUCCUUCUAGGUCAUAGUAGAGCAUGCGGAAAUGUGUUUACUUUUGUUUGCUACAAAAACGUGUUUCUAAACAUAGUGCAAUUUGAACCUUUGAUUUCAUAAUUCAUCCGAACUUCAUUGACCAUUAUGUCACUCCCUUGAGUUCAAUAAAGUUCUACUCUUAUCUUGUUGCCUGAA
Molecule: RNA transcript, 1533 nt
Organism: Capsicum annuum
Lineage: Eukaryota; Viridiplantae; Streptophyta; Magnoliopsida; Solanales; Solanaceae
Gene name: AT-hook motif nuclear-localized protein 1
Exons: 4
Source: RefSeq, a predicted model, not a curated record